Non-coding RNA from Triangularia verruculosa, 149 nucleotides. NCBI's taxonomy places the organism in Eukaryota, Fungi, Ascomycota, Sordariomycetes, Sordariales, Podosporaceae. The record is from the annotation of a GenBank genome assembly.
GGGCGUAUGGUCUAGUGGUAAGGCGUCUCAGUUGCAAAAAAAACUUGUUCGAUGCGUUCUCUGAAUCUGUUGGAAGACAGGUGAAAAGGGUGCUUGAAUGUUCCAAAUGCUCCAUGAGAAGAUCCCAGGUUCGAUUCCUGGUACGUCCA